GACGAACGCUGGCGGCGUGCUUAACACAUGCAAGUCGAACGGAAAGGCCUGCUUUCCCUUGUGGAUUGCGGGUACUCGAGUGGCGAACGGGUGAGUAACACGUGAGUGAUCUGCCCCCAACUUGGGUAUAAGCCUGGGAAACUGGGUCUAAUUCCCGAUAGGACUGCAGGGUGGUGCCUGUGGUGGAAAACGAUUUUCUAGUGGUUGGGGAUGAGCUCGCGGCCUAUCAGCUUGUUGGUGGGGUAAUGGCCUACCAAGGCGGCGACGGGUAGCCGGCCUGGGAGGGUGGACGGCCACAUUGGGACUGAGAUACGGCCCAGACUCCGACGGGAGGCAGCAGUGGGGAAUAGUGCACAAUGGGCGGAAGCCUGAUGCAGCGACGCCGCGUGGGGGAUGACGGCCUUCGGGUUGUAAACUCCUUUCGACCGCGAGGAAGCCACCUGGUUGGAAGGGUGGUGACGGUAGUGGUAGAAGAAGCACCGGCUAACUACGUG
This 494-nucleotide ribosomal RNA is filed under the name uncultured bacterium. RNAcentral describes it as "partial 16S ribosomal RNA". It matches the Rfam family "Bacterial small subunit ribosomal RNA", at positions 28 to 507 of the family's 1533-position model. The record is from RNAcentral.